AGUUACUCUCUUCCUCGUAGAAACCAUCAGGCCAUUACCCAACCAUCAUCCAUCCCCUCCAUUCCAAUUCAUAUGUUCUUAGCUAAAUCAUCAUGCAAAAUUAAGAGAUUCAUUCCUUAAAGCUUCAAAAAAGAAUGGUAAGAGCUCAACUAAUCUCUCUCUAUUUUUCCCUCUUUCAAGCCAUCAACCCUUUUUCAUCCCAAACUCUGAUUUAUACAUUCUAGCAGCAAGGGGGUUGUUGCAUGUGUUCCAAAUCAUCAAGCGGUAACCUUAUUAAUCUAAGGUAUGAUUAGUGGUUCAUUUCCCUAUCUUUCAUUGUUGUGAUUCAAUCAAUCCUCAAAACCCAAUUCUUACCUUUUGGUUGUCUGCUGAUGCAUGCAUUGUGGCUGCAAAUUCCGUUAUUCGGCAAGCUUCGAAGAUGUUGUUAACACGUUUCAAACGUCAUGUUCAGGUGGGUUCCUUUAAGUAAACUUUCACUUGAUAGACUAGUUUCCCCAAAUUACCAUCUUUGCAUGACAACAUAGGUUUAAAUUAGGAUUUUAGGAAUUAAUCGUUAAUUGGAUUAAUUGACUAUUUGAUUUAACUCCGUACAUGUCUGAAAUGUUAGAAGUUCAUGGAAUCUAAUGCAAAUACAUUAUUUACAACCUGUUUUGGGAAGUUUCUGUUUUACAAAUUAUGCAGGAAAUUCGUGUAUGAAUCAGUUCAUAAGAGUAUGAAUCGGUGCAUAUGCCUCCCCGGCUCGAACAAAUGCGCGUCUUGAACCUUAUGAGUAGGUGCAUACAUUCUGCGAAUCUGUGCAUAAAGCUCCAGGAUGCAGUUUUUAUAAAACUGGGACCCUAUGAAUCGAUACAUGCCCUACACGAACUAAUUCAUGCACGAGGAACAUAGUUAUGCAUUGAUACAUGAGUAGUAUGCACCAGUACCUAUUUUUGCUAAAAUCUUGAUUUAAAGACACCGGUGCAUGCCUUCUUGAACUGAUGCAUACUGAUACAAAUUCUAUAUUUUCAAAGUAAUUAGAUUCCAUGGUUUCAUAACUUUCGUACCUGUAUUAAAAUUUGUAGACAUAGGAAUUGAAUCAUGAUAUUCAGGAUAGUUUGAAUUGUCCCGGGAAGGUCUUCUUUUCUUUGGGUAGGAAAACAAUCAGGUUCAGGAUUAGAUACCACGAUUAUCAAUUAUUUAUCAGUAUUUAUCUAGAUGCUUGGUCAUUAGUACCAAUGUCAGGUUGCUUGGUCAUUAGCACCAUGUCAGGGGAUUCAAUCAGAAUCCAAAAUCAUGUAAUAAUAACUGUAAGCUCAUGUUGUAUUCCAACGUACAUUAUUAUCGGUAAUACCAGACCAGGCACUCCGGGACCGGCUUACCUCGAACAAGAUAAUUAAUCUAUGUUACGCCAUUUAUUUAUUAUGCUUUAUGUUAUGUUAUAAAAUUAUGAAAUUAUGUUAUGGACUGAUUAUCAGGAUUAUGACUCAGGAUCAGAUUAGAAUGAGAGAACUAUUAGUUCAAUACCCGGUGUAGUCACCAUUAGUUGGGUAGUAGGAGCUCAUUGAGGCUUAGUAGUCUCAUCCCACGCCUUUCAAUUUUUUUUAGGUAGACAAGUUAACCGGAGCAAGGACCAGGCAGGAACUGAUGAUCGAGGCCGAGCUUGGAUUAUCGGAUUAGAAGACUUUCAUCUUCUUCUUUGUUUUUAUGUUAAUCUGUUAAGUUAGAAUUUAAUUCUCUUCCGCUGUAUUUGUACCGAAUUAUCACGUUAUUCUUGUGAUAUCUUGUAAUUCAAUCAAUUUAUUCUGUAAUUUUAAUGUACUCA
Molecule: long non-coding RNA, 1801 nt
Filed under: Trifolium pratense (red clover)
Lineage: Eukaryota; Viridiplantae; Streptophyta; Magnoliopsida; Fabales; Fabaceae
Description: long non-coding RNA (TPRA_LNC013445)
Source: RNAcentral